AGAGGGAGAAGCAGGCUCCAUGUAGGGAGCCCGAUGCGGGACCCGAUCCCAGGACCCCAAGAUCACACCCCGAGCCGGAAGGCAGGCGCCCAACCGCUGAGCCACCCGGGCGUCCUUGUUGCUUGCAAUUUAAAUGGGAGUCUCCGAUUGAAAAUUUUAAAAGUUUCUCAAGGCUAAGAAGCCACGUCAAGGACAUGCCAUCACGCUUUACCUGCAGUACACAAAAAUUCAGGUGAAUUCCUCUCUUUCUGAGGUCCUCAAAAUAUCUUGAGAUUUCUGCUCCUGCCAGGAAGUGGCCAACCUUACUGACCUGGGAAGGAAGCUGAGAACCCUGUAAGCAAGAAACCAGAGAACCAGAGGGCACAGCCUCAGGAGGACAACAGUCCCAUCUCGGUCACCAAAUUUACAGCUGAACCUUGGUGACUCACACAUAGAAACCACGCCAGGACUCAGUGAUCUUUGAGGAUGUGGGGGUGGACUUCACCCUGGAGGAGUGGACUUUGCUGCAUUCUAGGCAGAAGAAUCUCUACAGAGAUGUGAUGCUGGAAACUUUCCAGAACCUGGUCUCAGUGGGUAAGGAUGGAUUCAGGCCUUCACUUGGAUCUCUUGUCAGUGCUCUUCCAUGAUUUAAAGUGUGGAAGGACACUUCAAAGGAAGACAGACAUGGUUACAGCCAUCAUGGACUUAGAAUCUGAUAAUGUCUCAUGACAGUGAAAAUGAGUGCAUUAAACUGAAGUUUUAUUUUUGUUUUGGUUCAGAAGACUUGAAGCUCCUUAAAGUUCAGUAGUGGGAGACUGGCUUCAUAAGUUGUUUUGGUUCACAGUUUUCUUGGAAAACUUGUUAUAGUCAUUAGUAAAUUGCCUACCAUUUUGACCUCUCCUGCCUGCCAUUGAUGAAGUCCUGAAAACCCUAAAGCCCUCAGUCUUUCUUUGCUCACAAGUUACUUCUUCAAGAUGUUCAUUCACAUUUUUAUUUGUUUAAGAUUAUGAAACACUGUUUAAACCCAGUGAGUUGGUUUCUAAACACGAUAUGCAUGAGGAAAAAAAUCUAAUGAAGAGAAAAUGGCAAAGUGCACAAGAAAUCAUUCUUGUGCCUACAUAUUAGAAAAAAAUUGGGAAGACCAUAGCAUUGAAGAUCAGCAUGGAAACCAUGCAAUACAUCUGAGGUGAGUUGUGCUGACAACAUAAAGCAGUAGUAAUCCCAGGACAGAGUUUCAGCAUAUCAUGAAAUUUUAAAAACAAAAAACCCAGCUCCAAAUCAGAGAGAGCGUGAGAGCAAGCAAGCACACAAG
Molecule: long non-coding RNA, 1291 nt
Organism: Canis lupus familiaris (dog)
Lineage: Eukaryota; Metazoa; Chordata; Mammalia; Carnivora; Canidae
Exons: 4
Source: RefSeq, a predicted model, not a curated record